This 253-nucleotide ribosomal RNA is filed under the name uncultured bacterium. Its description in RNAcentral is "partial 16S ribosomal RNA". It matches the Rfam family "Bacterial small subunit ribosomal RNA", at positions 524 to 776 of the family's 1533-position model. The record is from RNAcentral.
UACAGAGGGUGCAAACGUUGCUCGGAGUUACUGGGCGUAAAGCGCGUGUAGGCGGUGCCGCACGUCCGGUGUGAAAGCCCAGGGCUCAACCCUGGAAGUGCACUGGAUACGACGGCGCUGGAGUCCUGAAGAGGAGGGCGGAAUUCCCGGUGUAGAGGUGAAAUUCGUAGAUAUCGGGAGGAACACCAGUGGCGAAGGCGGCUCUCUGGACAGGUACUGACGCUGAGACGCGAAAGCGUGGGUAGCAAACAGG